ACGCUACUUUUUAUCGCUGGGAUCAUUGCAAU
RNAcentral lists this non-coding RNA (32 nucleotides) under Geobacter sulfurreducens PCA. The record is from RNAcentral. Lineage: Bacteria; Pseudomonadati; Thermodesulfobacteriota; Desulfuromonadia; Geobacterales; Geobacteraceae.